GAAAUAUGAUUACAAAUAAAAGCUGCUAACUUUUUAUUUUAAUGAUUUAACCCAUUAAUAUUUCU
Molecule: transfer RNA, 65 nt
Filed under: Diptera sp. 69 LC-2017
Lineage: Eukaryota; Metazoa; Arthropoda; Insecta; Diptera
Description: tRNA-Ser
Source: RNAcentral